This 440-nucleotide ribosomal RNA is filed under the name uncultured bacterium. Its description in RNAcentral is "partial 16S ribosomal RNA". It matches the Rfam family "Bacterial small subunit ribosomal RNA", at positions 338 to 795 of the family's 1533-position model. The record is from RNAcentral.
CCUACGGGUGGCAGCAGUGGGGAAUAUUGCACAAUGGGGGAAACCCUGAUGCAGCGACGCCGCGUGAGUGAAGAAGUAAUUCGUUAUGUAAAGCUCUUUCAGCAGGGAAGAAAAUGACGGUACCUGUGUAAGAAGUAACGGCUAACUACGUGCCAGCAGCCGCGGUAAUACGGAGGGGGCAAGCGUUAUCCGGAUUGACUGGGUGUAAAGGGAGUGUAGACGGCAGUGCAAGUCUGGGGUGAAAGGCGGGGGCUCAACCCCCGGACUGCUCUGGAUACUGUACGGCUGGAGUGCAGUAGAGGUAGGUGGAAUUCCUGGUGUAGCGGUGAAAUGCGUAGAUAUUAGGAGGAACACCGGUGGCGAAGGCGGCUUACUGGACUAUAACUGACGUUGAGGCUCGAAAGCGUGGGGAGCAAACAGGAUUAGAUACCCGAGUAGUC